RNAcentral lists this long non-coding RNA (138 nucleotides) under Canis lupus familiaris (dog). RNAcentral's name for it is "lncRNA (ENSCAFG00805014175.1, ENSCAFG00845020586.1)". Lineage: Eukaryota; Metazoa; Chordata; Mammalia; Carnivora; Canidae. The record is from RNAcentral.
GUAGACCCACUCCUGCUUUCUUGACCUUCAGAGUCAAUAGUCGAUAAACUAUUUCACACUGUAUUAAAGACUCCAAAGUGUUCAACUCGAGAUAAAAUCUGACAGCAGCACAGCUGAUUGAUGAAAAGAGAGGCCCGC